CUAUAUUUAAAAUAGUGAAACACGUUAUUAAAUUAGGAAACUAAUUUAAUACUUACCAUAGGUGUGUAGGAAGAAUCAUGGCAGAUCAGGAAAUGGAUGUAUCAAAACAGAGAAGUCGUCGGUGGGGUGGGGGUCGACGACACGGUGGGCGAACUCCAGGGCUCAGCGGUGACUCGGCGGCGGACGAACCGCAAGCUCAGCGGCGACUAUUUCGCCGGAGUCUAGAAGAAGGAACGGCAACGGGUUAUAGGAAAAAGAAAUCUUAGGGCUCUUGUAUUAAUUGCUUCGAAUGGAGAAUUCUCAUGGGUUUAAGAAGUGGAAACAAAAUCGAACUAAUUAAGGAAUGGAAGAGGGAGUCAGAGAUGAGGCGGAGCAACGCCGCCCUUAGGACGGCGGCGACGCCUGAAUUUAGAGGGAGAGAGAGGCGGGCAGUUUAAGGGGGGAAUUAGGGCUUGAUUUGAGUGUGCAAUCGACUUUAGAGAGAGAAAAUGAUUGAGAGAAGAGAGAGACAGUGAAGGGGGAGACGACGCCGACCGGAUUCAGGGACGGCGACGAUGGGGUGAGGAAGAGGGAGGCGUGACUUUUGUUUUAAAAGUGAGAAUGAGAAUAUAUAGAUUGGAUUCUCAAAUGCCACGUUGGAGAUUGAGAUUGAAAAGAAAGAAUUUGAGGCCUGCCACGUAGGCUAAGGCCUAAUCGUAUAGAAUAGUAUUAUUAUUAUUAUUAUUAUUAUUAUUAUUAUUAUUAUUAUUAUUAUUAUUAUUAUUAUUAUUAUUAUUAUUAUUAUUAUUAUUAUUGUAGUAAUGGACGAACAAAACAAUAAAGUUUGCAGAAAUGAAAAUAUAUUUUUCUUCCCUAUAUAAUAAAUGUAUGGAUUUAUUUUAUAAAAAUAAAUAAAAUUUAAUAUUUAGAUAGACAUAAAUAAGAUUUGUUUUAAAGUAAUCAGUUUAUAAAAUUUGUGCCUUAUUAUGCAAACAUAUAAAUCAAUGACCGGACCCGUUUAUAAUUUACAUAUACGUGCAUGUCUCAAUUAAAACUUAAUUUAAAAUUAAUUUUAUUGAAAAUUAAGAAUAUAAAUAUUAUAUAUAUACAUACAAUAUAUAUACAAUAUAAUAUAUUGCAACAUAUACAUAUAAUAUGUACGCUAUUGAGAAAUAUAAAAUUAAUAACAAAUAUACAUCUAAUCACUAACAUUCAAUUAAAAUAAUUUAUCGUAUAUAGAUUAUAAUUUUUUUCUUAUCGGACAUGUAAAUCUAGUUUUUAUCUAGAAAAAAUAAAUAAUAAAAUUUAUUAAUUUAGAUUAUAUGUAAUGUUAAUAUUAUUAUAUAGAUAUUAUAUUAUAUGAUUAAUGAAUCUUUAUAUAGAAUGUAAUAGUUAAUUAAUUAAUAAAUGAUGAAGAUUAGUAUAUGGUAAAUUUUGAAAUGGUGAAAUUUUAGAUAUGCCACAUAGGUUAAGGCUUAAUCCUAUUAUAUAAUAGAUUAACUACACACUUAAAACACUAAUCUACAACUCUUUAAUUUCCGUGCCGAAUCCAAACGUGUCAAGAUUCGUGGGACGGAGGGAGUAAUUUAUAGUAUUAAAAUAUUGUGUAUAUUUAAAGACGAUGAUAUUCCGUUGAGGAUGCAAAAAUUUCAAGGAUGAUCAUAUCCCAUUCGAGAGGCGAAAAUUCACACUCAAAUCAAUAUGUAAGAUCAAAUUUUCAGAUACUAGGAAUAAAGAUAUAUAGGAUCAAAUUCCUAACCCUUUUGUCCUAUUCACNUAUUUCAUCAUCGUAGGUAUUUAUAGGCAUUACAGUCGGGGUAAAGUAGUAAAUUCGUUUGGUAAUCUAUUUUGCAUGCUCGCCAUUAAACUAAUUAAGGCUAUUAUUAGAUUAUAACUUGUCAGGUCGUUGUCCCCUAAUUACAGAGCUGGAUUCUGUCCUCAUCAUCCCGCUCUGUCUAAUAGCUCUGGAUUUCCUUCCUUGGGGCAGACUUUUACUCUUUGGCUCCGCUCUGCUAAAUAGCUCCGCCUUCUGGCGAAUUGUCUCUGACGUGUGGCUCCGCGCUCUGGCUCCAAUAGCUUAGCUUUGACUCUGGAUCUGGCGAUUUGGCUCUGGCUCUGACUCUAACGACUUAGCUCUGACUCUGGAUCUGGCGACUUGGCUCUGGCUCUGACUUUAAUGACUUAGCUCUGGCUCUGGCACUGGCUAUGGCUUAGCUCUGCUCUGGCAGCUCUGCUCUGGAAGCUUUGCUCUGGCAUCUCUGCUCUGGUUAGCUCUGGCUCUGGCAUCUCUGCUCUGGCAUCUCUGCUCUGGCAACUUGACUCUGGCCCUCUGCUCUGGAAGCUCUGCUCUGGUUAGCUCUGGCUCUGGAAGCUCUGCUCUGGCAACUCUACUCUGGCAGCUCUGUUCUGGAAGCUUUGCUCUGCCAACUCUGCUCUGGACUUUUUCCUCUGCCUAUUUCUCACAGCUUCUUUGCUCCCUGCUGCUCAUCUUUGGUAUUCCAAGCAAAGCCACGUGUCCUGAUUUUAGGAACUUGCAUCAAUCACAACACGCUUGAUAGCAGAUGCCAAAAUUCUUUCCAAAAUUUGUUCUUUCUAAAAUAAUAAUCAUUCUAUAUUUAAAAUAGUGAAACGCUUUAUUAAAUUAGGAAACUAAUUUAAUACUUACCAUAGGUGUGUAGGAAGAAUCACGGCUAAUCAGGAAAUGGAGGUAUCAAAACAGAGAAGUCGUCGGUGGGGUGGGGGUCGACGGCACGGUGGACGAACUCCAGGGCUCAGCGGUGACUCGACGGCGGAUGAACCGCAAGCUCAGCGGCGACUAUUUCGCCGGAGUCUAGAAGAAGGAACGACAACGGGUUAUAGGAAAAAGAAAUCUUAGGGCUCUUGUAUUAAUUGCUUCAAAUGGAGAAUUCUCAUGGGUUUAAGAAGUGGAAACAAAAUCGAACUAAUUAAGGAAUGGAAGAGGGAGUCAGAGAUGAGGCGGAGCAACGCCGCCCUUAGGACGGCGGCGACGCCUGAAUUUAGAGGGAGAGAGAGGCGGGCAGUUUAAGGGGGGAAUUAGGGCUUGAUUUGAGUGUGCAAUCGACUUUAGAGAGAGAAAAGGAUUGAGAGAAGAGAGAGACAGUGAAGGGGGAGACGACGCCGACCGGAUUCAGGGACGGCGGCGAUGGGGUGAGGAAGAGGGAGGUGUGACUUUUGUUUUAAAAGUGAGAAUGAGAAUAUAUAGAUUGGAUUCUCAAAUGCCACGUUGGAGAUUGAGAUUGAAAAGAAAUAAUUUGAGGCCUGCCACGUAGGCUAAGG
Molecule: long non-coding RNA, 3276 nt
Filed under: Salvia miltiorrhiza (redroot sage)
Lineage: Eukaryota; Viridiplantae; Streptophyta; Magnoliopsida; Lamiales; Lamiaceae
Description: long non-coding RNA (SMIL_LNC008321)
Source: RNAcentral